This 497-nucleotide ribosomal RNA is filed under the name uncultured bacterium. Its description in RNAcentral is "partial 16S ribosomal RNA". It matches the Rfam family "Bacterial small subunit ribosomal RNA", at positions 28 to 507 of the family's 1533-position model. The record is from RNAcentral.
GAUGAACGCUGGCGGCGUGCCUAAUACAUGCAAGUCGAGCGAACGGACGAGAAGCUUGCUUCUCUGAUGUUAGCGGCGGACGGGUGUGUAACACGUGGAUAACCUACCUAUAAGACUGGGAUAACUUCGGGAAACCGGAGCUAAUCCCGGAUGAUCUUUUGAACCGCAUGGUUCAAAAGUGAAAGACGGUCUUGCUGUCACUUAUCGCUGGAUCCGCGCUGCUUGAGCUAGUUGGUAAGGUAAUGGCUUACCAAGGCAACGAUGCAUAGCCGACGUGUGAGGCUGAUCGGCCACACUGGAACUGGACCACGGACCAGGCUCCUACGGGAGGCAGCAGAAGGGAAUCUUCCGCAAUGGGCGAAAGCCUGGCAGAGCGGCGCCGCGUGUGUGAUGGAGGUCUUCGGAUCGGAAAGCUCUGUUAUGAGUGGAAAACAUAUGUGGAAGUAACUGUGCACAGCUUGACGGUACCGAAUCAGAAAGCCACGGCUAACUACGUG